Molecule: ribosomal RNA, 595 nt
Filed under: Hydrophana sphaerospora
Lineage: Eukaryota; Fungi; Basidiomycota; Agaricomycetes; Auriculariales
Description: partial large subunit ribosomal RNA
Rfam family: Eukaryotic large subunit ribosomal RNA
Source: RNAcentral
UCCCCUAGUAACGGCGAGUGAAGCGGGAAGAGCUCAAAUUUAAAAUCUGGCGCCUCCGGUGCCCGAGUUGUAAUCUAGAGAGGUGUUUUCCGCGCCGGACCGUGCACAAGUCCCUUGGAACAGGGCGUCGUAGAGGGUGAGAAUCCCGUCCACGGCACGGACUCCCGGUGCUCUGUGAUACGCCUUCAAAGAGUCGAGUUGUUUGGGAAUGCAGCUCAAAAUGGGUGGUAAAUUCCAUCUAAAGCUAAAUACAGGCGAGAGACCGAUAGCGAACAAGUACCGUGAGGGAAAGAUGAAAAGAACUUUGGAAAGAGAGUUAAACAGUACGUGAAAUUGUUGAAAGGGAAACGCUUGGAGUCAGUCGCGUCUGCCGGGACUCAGCCGGGCUUGCUCGGUGCAUUUCUCGGUGGACGGGCCAGCAUCGAUUUCUUCCGCCGGAUAAAGGCAAGAGGAAGGUGGCACCCCUCGGGUGUGUUAUAGCCUCUUGCUAAACGGUGGUGGGGAUCGAGGACCGCAGCACGGAUCGGGGUUCGCCCACGCCGCGUGCUUAGGAUGCUGGCGUAAUGGCUUUUAAGCGACCCGUCUUGAAACACGG